UACGGGGGGGGCAAGCGUUGUUCGGAAUUACUGGGCGUAAAGGGCUCGUAGGCGGCCAACUAAGUCAGACGUGAAAUCCCUCGGCUCAACCGGGGAACUGCGUCUGAUACUGGGUGGCUUGAAUCCGGGAGAGGGAUGCGGAAUUCCAGGUGUAGCGGUGAAAUGCGUAGAUAUCUGGAGGAACACCGGUGGCGAAGGCGGAAUCCUGGACCGGUAUUGACGCUGAGUGAGCGAAAGCCAAAAGAGCAGACGGG
This 254-nucleotide ribosomal RNA is filed under the name uncultured bacterium. RNAcentral's name for it is "partial 16S ribosomal RNA". It matches the Rfam family "Bacterial small subunit ribosomal RNA", at positions 524 to 776 of the family's 1533-position model. The record is from RNAcentral.